Long non-coding RNA from Stegostoma tigrinum, 5264 nucleotides. RefSeq lists it as uncharacterized. The record is from RefSeq and is a predicted model, not a curated record. Lineage: Eukaryota; Metazoa; Chordata; Chondrichthyes; Orectolobiformes; Stegostomatidae. The transcript has 7 exons.
CACUUGUGUGCGCACAAACCGUUGCGUUUCAAACAAGCGCAGCACAGGAGGCAAAGGAGAGCCGGAGGAAUCGGACGCGGAACACACGCGAUAAUGGAUUGAAAGGAGAAAAUUAGAAAUCGAAUCAAUGUCAGCAGAGGAAUUGGCAGACUUGAACCUCAAACCGAACUGUGAAAGAGUACCACGAUUGAUGAGGAUCUGAAUAUUGUCAACAAAUGAAUGUGGUAGCAUUCAGAUAUCCUAAUUCUUGCUCCAGGAUGACCAGAAGGAAUCUCCCAGCCAUUCUAGAUACUCCUGCAAACACCAACAGCAGCCAAAGUCCAGAGGACAGAGCCGCUGGAUUCACCUGACUGUAAAUGAUGGGCCCCCGCAAAAGGAUUAAAGCCUGCUAUUGGACUUUCCAUUGUCAUGGCCGCCUUUACAGCUUUAAGCCGAAAGAACAAUUUGUGUUUUUUUAAGGCUCAUAUCCUUUUAUUUGGAAACCGCACUGUGUGUAACCCACUUGCCCUGUCAGUAGAGACGUUAUUUGUAGCCACCCCUGGAUGGACCCCCUUUGACUAAGACAUGACUAACGACUCAUGCAGAGGCCAGACUGGUUCAUACCGAUGAAGUAUUCACAGGAGAUGUGUAGAGCUGAUAAACUUAAACAAGACACAGUCCCCCAGUGUUUGAACCCGCUAAGUUACCCGCUUUGCUUUUCAGGACAGGGUGCGUAUAUGCUCUAGUCCCCAGUGACACCACCUGUGUGCAGACGCAGUGCUCCCGCCAACAUUGCCAUGUGAACCAAGGCCUGUUUACAUGCACUUGCGAUGAGCAAAGAUGUCUUAACAUAACUGGCGGUAGACAGUUUAUUUGUGGCCAAUGAAAUUGGACACGUCAGUUCAGCCACCUGGACGUAUCCAUUUGAUACCUACUAACCGAUGGGAUCAGGCGGAGACUCCAGCCAGCCGGAGAACUCGUGGUACAAACAAUUUGCGCAGGGCAGAAAAAUAAUCAUGAAGUCAAAUGCUAUUGAGCUAAAAAAGUCUUCGUGUUCCUCCUGAAUGGGGUAUACACAACAGCCACUCCAAACCUUCCAAUCCUCUUUGCCAUUGGUACUAUCAGACCACUUGCUGUCCCAUGCCCCCAUCGAGGACAUACCCAUAGGAAGACAGUGGCCGGAACCAUUAGCGCACAAUUUUGUGCAGCCUGAGAGGACCCAGUCUCAAUGGGGUCCUCACUUGGCUCCGGGUUCCUCGGACCCCAGUCUCUAGGGAGAUCACUGGGAGUCAUUAGUGUUAAAAGUAGAAACUACCUUAUUUGUAGAUUAACCGUCCUUCUCCUUGGAGGCAGAGCAGUAUGGUGCUGGCUCGAAGGGCUGAAUGGCCUACUCCAGCACCUAUUGUCUAUUGUAUUGGCAGGCUCUGGCAUCCCACUGCUUGGAUUGACCUAAUCUCUGCUCUCCCACCUUUAUGGUGUGGUCAUGGAAUGACCAAAGUGGGGAGAUGAGAAUCUGAAACUUGGAUACAGGUGCAAGAUGGCUUCUCGGUGCAAGUUAGCAACAAAAUGGCUUCUAGCCUGGGAACUGUAAAUUCUGCUAGAGCUGCUCUUUUAGCCUUGGAACUCUGAGUUCUGCUAGAGCUGCAUAAAUAAUGCAGUAAUGAUAAGAUAAUGCAGUACUAACCAUUCUAGCUGACCUUCAGUAGCAAAUGUUAUGGUGCUAUAUGGCGAGACAAAAAGUAACCUAAACAUUGUGACUUAAGUUGUUUACCAGUUAAUACUAUUGGAUUAUGUAACUGUCAAUGAAGCAAUAUCAUGUAUUGAUUGGUAAUUGUUAGAAUACACUAUGCGAUCACGCCAUGUACCCUGCUUUAAGAAAAGUAUAAAAAUGUCUUUGUAUUAAGUUGUGUGUGCAGCUCCUCUGAGGAAUACAGAAGUGCUCAACUUCUGUGUUUUCCGGAUGAUCUGUACCCGGCCAAUUGAAGAAAUAAAGAGUAAAGUGCGAGUGUUCAUUGACUGAGCACGGAAUCGAGGGACCCCACCAGGGGUCGAGAUUUACGGUUACAUUCUGCUAUUAAUUAUAUUUGGGAAUGAACAUAUUUCAUUGUUGCCCAUUUCUACUGAUGAUAAAUUGACUUGCCUUCAAACGUAGGGUUUUAUUUUCCAGAUAAAAGUCAAAUAAAUUAGCUUUGUGUUUAACACAACUUAUAUUUGGUUUUCAAAUGUCCCAAGCACACGUGAAUUUCUCUUGGUGAUAACAAGGUGUGGAGCUGGAUGAACACAGCAGGCCAAACAGCAUCUUAGGAGCACAAAAGCUGAUGUUUCAGGCCUAGACCCUUCUUUUGGCCUUCUUAGCGAGAGGAUUCAGAUACAGGAGCAGGCAAACAUUGGAUUUGCCAUUGGCCUGUAUUGGCAUUAAGCACGAAUUGACCUUGGAUCUCAUUUGGGCUGAGGCAGCUGAAGGAUGUGAGGGAUGUUCUUGCCAAUCCCUAAUUGCUGAGAGGGACAGUUAAGAGUCAAAUACAUUCUUUUGAGUCUGACGUCACAUGUAUUUCAGACCAGACUGCUUCGAUCUCGGUGUAGUAGUGAAUGUUGCUGAACAUUUUUGGAAUCGUUGAUGACCAGCACACUUCUGAAUUCGUGAUCGAGGGAAGAAUACUGAUGGUAUGGCUGCUGAUGACUCUCAGUGCCUCGUGGAUGCCCAGUUUCAAUCUUCCCAGUCCUUUAGAAGUAUGUCCGACCAUGCAGGAGGUACUGCUAUGUAACACAGUGGAUGGUAUCUUCACAAUGAGGCUGAAAUCUUCCGUCCACCAGGACCAUGUACUGGGUGCUCCUACAGAUACUGUUUGAGACAGAUACAUCUGUGACAAUCAUAAACCUGAGUCAGGCAAGCCAUAAAUGUGUGAGGGUCAGUAUGGCUUCGGUGAGUUGGAAAAGUAAAGACAAUCAAAAAAGAAAUUCGUAAAGAGAACAAGAAUUCAAACUAAGAAGAAACGUAAAGACUACCGUAAAGUAAAAAUGAAAACAAAGUAAAAUAUGGAACAGUGAAUGUGCGGACAGGAAAGUUUAUUGUAGAAAACAGAAAAUACAAGGAAACUAAACAGUUACUUUGUGCCUGCCUUCAUGGAAGAAGAUUCAGAAAGUCUCCUGGAAAUAUUAAGUGACUGUAGGACAUGUGUAACUAAAGACUGCAAUCAUUCAGAGCAGUGACAUGGUGGCAUUUGAAAGGAUACCUGGAUUAAGCAUUGAUAAAACUGAUGGACCAGAUACAUUUCAUAGUAGAAUUUCAGAGCAAGCGACAAUAGGCAUAUCGAGCGUUUGGCAUCAUUGUGUUAUUUUCCUAUACAUUCUGCAAAGUCAGGAAGCCAAUCUGGAUAACCCGAAGGUUAUAAAUAUAAUUCAAUGGUUUAAGAAGGGAAGAAGAGGGAGAUGGCAAACUGGAUACCAAUUAACUUGUCAUCCGUGGUUGAGAAUCUUUUGGAUAUAUUGUUAAGUAUGGGAUAUUGGAUAUUCAGAAAGUAACACCAAAAUUAGAGAAGAAAACUGAUGUAUUUAUGAAAGGAAAAUUCCAAUUGACAGGAUUUUUUUCAGAUUGUUUGAAGUUUUUUGCCAACACGGACAAUGGAAAACCAGAGGAUGUGAUAUAUUUGGAUAUGCAAGAGGAUUUUCUAAGAGUUUACACGAUGAGUUCAAAAAUAAAAUUGGAAUAAAGUAUAUAUGGUGGAAUAUAUGCAAAUCGAAAGGUGAAAGUUAGGUUUAUCUUCAUGUAAAGGGUAUUGGAAUAUAGAAGUAAACAUGUCUCGCAGGAGUAGCAUAGACAGUUGGUGAGACUGUACCUGAAGUAUUGUGUAGAGUUUUCUAAGAAAGAAUAUACUGAACAAAGGGGAAGUGAAAUGCAUAAUGUCCAGCUUAAUCUCUCAGAUGGCAAGAUUGUCUGAUGAGGAAACCCAUGGUAUUUUGAUGUCCCAGUCUAAGAAAUAAUACACUGACCACAGAGGAAGUGCAAAGGGCAAGAUUACCUGAUGAGGAAACUCAGCCUGUGUUCUCUAGAUUUUUAAAGUUUGAGAGUGAUAACAGUGAAAUUUAGAAAACACAGACAGAGAGGACAAACUAAAGGGCAUGGAGAAGUGCAAGCAGGGAAGGUUAGGGAGAAUCCCAAAAUAUUCUAUAUGUAAAUAAAACGGAACAUAACGACCUAAGAACAAUUUGGACCAAUUAGAAACCAAGGGGCAAUCCCUCUGUGGAGCUGGAGAAUAUUGAUACUUUGUCACAUGAGUAUUUUGCAUCUCUUUUACUUGCAUCCUCCUUCUCCCAAGUAUAUAAUUUGAUAAAAUGGACUGUGAAGCUCUUGAGCAGAUUGAUUUAAGAUGUGAGCAGGGAUUGAUGGUUUUGACUGAUGUAAAAUUGUACAAGUUCCCAAGUCUGAAUGAAUUGUAUCAUAGGAUGUUGUCGCAGACAAGAGAGGAAAGGCUCUGGCCCAAAUUUAUAGGAAUCCCCACAGGGGAGGUGCCAGAGGACUGGAGAACAGCUGAUGCAUUUCCCAUUUAUGAGAAGGGUGGUCGAGAUAAACCGGGGACUGUCGACCAAUAAGCAUCAGAUCGGUGUUGGGGAAAACAUGGGAGGAAUAAGAAUGUAGGAAAUUGAUCUACAUUUAUCGAGGCAAGGUUUGAUUAGGGAUAGUCAGCAUGAUAGUUUCAGAGCAAAGUCAUACUUAACAAAUUUGAUUUUUUUUUAAAGUUUGUCGUUUCUAUGGUUUUUCAGCAAGGUCUUUUGACAAAGUCCCACAUGGAAAACUGUUAAAGAAAAUAAAAUUUCAUUCUAUCAAGUAUGACUGGGCAUCCAAAAUUUUCUUAAUCACAGGAGACAGAGAAUGGUGAUAGGAUGUUGUUAGUGUGUGUGAAAGAAUAAUUAAAACAUAAAGAGAGAAUGUAGCUAAAGAUUAGAAUUAGAGGAUGGAAUGAUGGGAAAAUAGGUCAAGUAAGAUAUAUAAUGACAAAUUAUUGUGAGACUGCAGAAAACUCUAGACCAUGUUGUACCAUGUUGCCUCACGCUUAAGUUAAUUCCGCUUGAGUAACGUCUCAGUAAUCACAUGUUAUGAGAUCAUGACCGAUGGCCUGCCUCGAGAGGAUGUGAUAAAGUGUACUUGCUUGCUCGCACGCUUGUAAGUCGCCUCUUCCUGUAUUAAAAAAAACUAUUCUAUUUCAGUAUUCUGCGGAGACUACGAGUCUAACCGUUUGUCAGCGUUGGCUCCUCGUGAAAUUACGAAUAAAGCCUCUUUACCUCGA